RNAcentral lists this transfer RNA (85 nucleotides) under Helicobacter jaachi. RNAcentral's name for it is "tRNA-Leu". It matches the Rfam family "tRNA". Rfam says of the family: Transfer RNA (tRNA) molecules are approximately 80 nucleotides in length. Lineage: Bacteria; Pseudomonadati; Campylobacterota; Epsilonproteobacteria; Campylobacterales; Helicobacteraceae. The record is from RNAcentral.
GCGGGAAUGGCGGAAUUGGCAGACGCACCAGACUUAGGAUCUGGCGCCGCAAGGCGUGGAGGUUCAAGUCCUCUUUCCCGCACCA